GCCCUUGUAGCUCAGUGGUAGAGCAUUUCCUUGGUAAGGAAAAGGUAGUGAGUUCAAAUCUCCCCAAGGGCU
RNAcentral lists this transfer RNA (72 nucleotides) under Sciadococcus taiwanensis. RNAcentral describes it as "tRNA-Thr". It matches the Rfam family "tRNA". From Rfam's summary of the family: Transfer RNA (tRNA) molecules are approximately 80 nucleotides in length. Their secondary structure includes four short double-helical elements and three loops (D, anti-codon, and T loops). Further hydrogen bonds mediate the characteristic L-shaped molecular structure. tRNAs have two regions of fundamental functional importance: the anti-codon, which is responsible for specific mRNA codon recognition, and the 3' end, to which the tRNAs corresponding amino acid is attached (by aminoacyl-tRNA synthetases). tRNAs cope with the degeneracy of the genetic code in two manners: having more than one tRNA (with a specific anti-codon) for a particular amino acid; and 'wobble' base-pairing, i.e. permitting non-standard base-pairing at the 3rd anti-codon position. The record is from RNAcentral. Lineage: Eukaryota; Rhodophyta; Bangiophyceae; Cavernulicolales; Cavernulicolaceae.